Molecule: ribosomal RNA, 301 nt
Filed under: uncultured bacterium
Lineage: Bacteria
Description: partial 16S ribosomal RNA
Rfam family: Bacterial small subunit ribosomal RNA
Source: RNAcentral
CAGCCGCCGCGGGAAUACGAAGGGGGCUAGCGUUGCUCGGAAUUACUGGGCGUAAAGGGAGCGUAGGCGGAUCGUUAAGUUGGGGGUGAAAGCCCGGGGCUCAACCUCGGAACUGCCUUCAAUACUGGCGAUCUUGAGUAUGAGGGAGGUGUGUGGAACUCCGAGUGUAGAGGUGAAAUUCGUAGAUAUUCGGAAGAACACCAGUGGCGAAGGCGACACACUGGCUCAUUACUGACGCUGAGGCUCGAAAGCGUGGGGAGCAAACAGGAUUAGAUACCCCGGUAGUCCCUGUCUCUUAUAC